This 164-nucleotide ribosomal RNA is filed under the name Pinanga brevipes. Its description in RNAcentral is "5.8S rRNA". It matches the Rfam family "5.8S ribosomal RNA". Rfam says of the family: 5.8S ribosomal RNA (5.8S rRNA) is a component of the large subunit of the eukaryotic ribosome. It is transcribed by RNA polymerase I as part of the 45S precursor that also contains 18S and 28S rRNA. The record is from RNAcentral. Lineage: Eukaryota; Viridiplantae; Streptophyta; Magnoliopsida; Arecales; Arecaceae.
AUGAUGACUCUCGGCAACGGAUAUCUCGGCUCUUGCAUCGAUGAAGAACGUAGUGAAAUGCGAUACCUGGUGUGAAUUGCAGAAUCCCGUGAACCAUCGAAUCUUUGAAUGCAAGUUGUGCUCGAGGCCACCCGGCCGAGGGCACGCCUGCCUGGGCAUCAUGC